RNAcentral lists this unclassified non-coding RNA (169 nucleotides) under uncultured Ceramothyrium. Its description in RNAcentral is "sequence contains ITS2". The record is from RNAcentral. Lineage: Eukaryota; Fungi; Ascomycota; Eurotiomycetes; Chaetothyriales; Chaetothyriaceae.
UCCUCCCUCAAACCUCGGGUUUGGUGUUGGACCGCGUGGGGGACUUCUUUCCCCCACUGGUCUCAAAGACAAUGACGGCGUCCGUGGGACCCUCUUCGCACUGAGCUUUCCGGAGCACGCGUGGAGUUUCAAGGCCCCAGGGACCCGGUCACCUCAUCAUUAUUUUUCA